Gorilla gorilla gorilla (western lowland gorilla) is the source of this 118-nucleotide ribosomal RNA. The record is from Ensembl. NCBI's taxonomy places the organism in Eukaryota, Metazoa, Chordata, Mammalia, Primates, Hominidae.
GUCUAAAGCCAUACCACCCUGAACACGCCUGAUCUCGUCUGACCUCGGAAGCUAAGCAGGGUUCAGCCCUGGUUAGUACUUGGAUGGGAGACAAAGAAUAACAUCGUUUCUACAUACA